Molecule: long non-coding RNA, 413 nt
Organism: Peromyscus eremicus (cactus mouse)
Lineage: Eukaryota; Metazoa; Chordata; Mammalia; Rodentia; Cricetidae
Exons: 3
Source: RefSeq, a predicted model, not a curated record
GAUCCAAAUCAAUAGGUUAAUUUGAGAUGUGUGAUUUGGUUACCAAAUGUUUAGAAAUUCACCAAACACUGGUCUAUUAUUGAUUUUCAAGCUAAUUUCAUUAUGUUCAGAGAAAGAGUGUGAUUUGAAUCUUUUUAAGUAUAUGAGAGGUGUUUUAUGGUUGCUCAGCAUUGCUCAGCAUUGCAAGGGAGAGUCUUAUUGCAGAUGGAUAGCCUGGGAGAAGAGCAAAACUUUUAAGAUCAUCUAUACACCAUCGAUAAGGCCUCAAACAAUGUCAUUCCAGCAAGUGAGAUCCUCACUAGCAAGGAGAUGUCACUCAUCAUACUUGCUGCUGUGCCAGCCCCACCCAGUGAUUCUUCUUCCUUUCCCACAUCUCCUCCAUCCAGAUACCACUGUUGUAGGAGACCAGCCCA